UACGUAGGUGGCGAGCGUUGUCCGGAAUUACUGGGUGUAAAGGGCGUGUAGGCGGGACGGUAAGUCAGAUGUGAAAUACCGGAGCUUAACUCCGGGGCUGCAUCUGAAACUAUAGUUCUUGAGUGCUGGAGAGGAAAGCGGAAUUCCUAGUGUAGCGGUGAAAUGCGUAGAUAUUAGGAGGAACACCAGUGGCGAAGGCGGCUUUCUGGACAGUAACUGACGCUGAGGCGCGAAAGCGUGGGGAGCAAACAGGAUUAGAUACCCUGGUAGUCCACGCUGUAAACGAUGGAUACUAGGUGUAGGAGGUAUCGACCCCUUCUGUGCCGGAGUAAACACAAUAAGUAUCCCACCUGGGGAGUACGGCCGCAAGGUUGAA
This 376-nucleotide ribosomal RNA is filed under the name uncultured bacterium. Its description in RNAcentral is "bacterial SSU rRNA". It matches the Rfam family "Bacterial small subunit ribosomal RNA", at positions 524 to 898 of the family's 1533-position model. The record is from RNAcentral.